This 1107-nucleotide long non-coding RNA is filed under the name Daucus carota (carrot). Its description in RNAcentral is "long non-coding RNA (DCAR_LNC005954)". Lineage: Eukaryota; Viridiplantae; Streptophyta; Magnoliopsida; Apiales; Apiaceae. The record is from RNAcentral.
GGAUGGAUAGAGUUUCCUUCAUUCAAAAAGGUAUUUCAUCUAACCGAAAGUAUGAAAAUACUCUCGAUGUUUAGAUAACAUAACCUUUCAAGUCAGAAGAGAUAACCCACAAAAAAAGUCUCGUUAAAACCCCUCAAGAGUAAAACCCUAAGGAAAAAAAACUCAAGGGGAAAAAGAGUGCCCUACAAAAUUACAUCUUUUAAAAAAGAGACUAAAAACUGAUGUAUUCUUUAUUUCCUUCUAUCAAUAUUUGUAGCUUAAUUGUCUUGUACAUCAAAGUUCUCGUCUUCUCGGAAGCAGCCUUAGUAACUAAGUUCAUAAAAUAUCUUUCAAACAUCCUGAAAACAAGACAAAACCAAAUAAAAGUAAUAUGAGUGAAUUUGAAAAAACUUAAUGCCUCUAUGGGCCAAAAGAUGCCCAAAUCAUGGUCGCCAUAUAUGGUACCAAAAACCGUUAAUUAAGAAUAAUUAAUAUCCUUAAUUAAGGCACAAUUAUUGGCCAAUUAGCAUCUUCUUCUUACCCCUUCUUACCCCUUCUAGACUUCUCCACUACCACCACGAAUGUUACAAUUCAUUGUUGUGCAAAAAGCUCCUGCAUUCAUAGUUGUAACCAAAGCAAAUAAUAUCACCAGAACCAACACAAAUAAAUACACCAAUAAAAUUUAUUUGAAUGUUAACAAAGAUCCAAAAUUAUUAAAAGAUAAGAAUAGACAGAAUGCAAAAAAAAAAUAAUGCAAAAAUAAACGAGGGAAAAUGAAAUUAAGAACUUCAAGAGGUAAAGGCGAAAGAAUACUUCCCGAAUAGCUUGUUUUAAGACCCAAGAUUUUUAACAGAACUAGCUAGGUCACAUGCUUGAUUAGAAAAGUGCCGCCAUGAGGUCGAAAAAUAGGGAGAUCAGCAGAUGCACAAACGGAAGAUGAAGAAUCAAAGCGAAAGCCGAUUGUCGGGGGUUGUAUGUAUUUUGAAUACGAGGAAAGAUAGAUCACCAAAAGAUUCACAAAAAAAACACACGAUUAGAACAGUAGCUGUGAUUUGGGGGCUAGGGUUUUACAAAACUCUCUUCUCAUUUUUAUCAACCAGAGAGAAAGAGAGAGAUGGGAGAGGGGGG